AAGAAAUUCAUUAUGUGGAAAAGCUAUCAAUUCCUUCUGAGAAUCCUUUCUGUAUCACUAAGCCUAAUGAAGUUUUGGUUAAUAUCCUUGGUAAGAGAUGUGAGGGGCUUGCUUUAGGGCAGAUAUUCUAAUUUGGGGUUGAUACUUGUAUUUUUAAUUUGAAACAAUUACAGUAUAUAUAUCCUAAAUUGCCAUUAAUCAACACUUAUUAAUGAUUGUCAGACCUAAAAAUAAAAUUAAUAUUAGUAAAAUACCCUUAAACCUAGCCUUCCCACCCUCCACUGUCACGACCCACAAACACCUCCCCCUUCUUCUUUCACAAUUCAUUCUGUAAAGAGCCAAUGAAUCCCCUUCCCUUUGCUUCAGUAGCAACCCAAACCGGCAAGCUUUGGUCAUUGUUGUGACAGUGGCAGCAAGGGCUCGACAUGGCAGUGAUUGAGAGACAUUUCCUCCCUUCCUAUACCCCACAAUAAAGGCCACAACAUGGGCAAUGGCUCACUAAAGUGUGCCAUAUGUUUAAACAAGUUUGAAGAUGAUCAAGCGUUGCGUUUAGUUUUCUAAGUGCAGCCAUGUUUUCCACCCUGAUUGCAUUGAUCACUAGCUCGACUUGCACACCACUUGCCAUGUUUAUUGUGCCAAUUUGGUCCCAAGAACGGGCAAAUCUUCCUUCAAUUUCGAUACCAGUCGAUUCACCUCUUUUAAAUGGACAGUAACUCGGUUAAUUUGGCCUAGGAUUAAAACCUUUUCUCUCUAUCUCCCUCUGACUUGUGAUUUGUGGUUAUGAAUUUUGAUUUUAUGUUUCCCUGUGGAUCCAAGUGGUUAUGGUUUGAUUUUCUGUUUCUCUAUGGAUUUUGAUUUUCGGGAAUUUGGAUAUGGUUUGAAAUAGUUACUGCCAUUUCAUUGGCAUUAGAGAGAGAGAGCAAGGAGAGGGAAAGGGCUAGGGGCUCCUCUUUUUUUUUUUUU
RNAcentral lists this unclassified non-coding RNA (963 nucleotides) under Hevea brasiliensis (rubber tree). Lineage: Eukaryota; Viridiplantae; Streptophyta; Magnoliopsida; Malpighiales; Euphorbiaceae. The record is from RNAcentral.